UAAGGGUGAGAAAGGGGAAGUAUUACAACUAAUUGACCACAACCAGUUACAGAUUCCCUUGUUCCUUCUCCACUCCCACUGCUUCACUUGACCAGUUAA
This 99-nucleotide small RNA is filed under the name Propithecus coquereli (Coquerel's sifaka). Its description in RNAcentral is "Y RNA (ENSPCOG00000001242.1)". Lineage: Eukaryota; Metazoa; Chordata; Mammalia; Primates; Indriidae. The record is from RNAcentral.